AACGAACGCUGGCGGCAUGCCUAACACAUGCAAGUCGAACGAGACCUUCGGGUCUAGUGGCGCACGGGUGCGUAACGCGUGGGAACCUGCCUUUAGGUUCGGAAUAACUCAGAGAAAUUUGAGCUAAUACCGGAUGAUGUCUUCGGACCAAAGAUUUAUCUCCUUUAGAUGGGCCCGCGUUGGAUUAGCUAGUUGGUGGGGUAAAGGCCUACCAAGGCGACGAUCCAUAGCUGGUCUGAGAGGAUGAUCAGCCACACUGGGACUGAGACACGGCCCAGACUCCUACGGGAGGCAGCAGUGGGGAAUAUUGGACAAUGGGCGAAAGCCUGAUCCAGCAAUGCCGCGUGAGUGAUGAAGGCCUUAGGGUUGUAAAGCUCUUUUACCCGAGAUGAUAAUGACAGUAUCGGGAGAAUAAGCUCCGGCUAACUCCGUG
This 433-nucleotide ribosomal RNA is filed under the name uncultured bacterium. RNAcentral describes it as "partial 16S ribosomal RNA". It matches the Rfam family "Bacterial small subunit ribosomal RNA", at positions 29 to 507 of the family's 1533-position model. The record is from RNAcentral.